ACGCUCGACACCUACGGGAGCAGCAGUGGGGAAUAUUGCACAAUGGGGGAAACCCUGAUGCAGCGACGCCGCGUGAAGGAAGAAGUAUUUCGGUAUGUAAACUUCUAUCAGCAGGGAAGAAGAUGACGGUACCUGACUAAGAAGCCCCGGCUAACUACGUGUCAGCAGCCGCGGUAAUCUGAGCGGGCUGGCAAGGC
RNAcentral lists this ribosomal RNA (197 nucleotides) under uncultured bacterium. Its description in RNAcentral is "partial 16S ribosomal RNA". It matches the Rfam family "Bacterial small subunit ribosomal RNA", at positions 328 to 539 of the family's 1533-position model. The record is from RNAcentral.